RNAcentral lists this non-coding RNA (159 nucleotides) under Rhodospirillaceae bacterium. RNAcentral describes it as "6S RNA". It matches the Rfam family "6S / SsrS RNA". Rfam says of the family: E. coli 6S RNA was the first non coding RNA to be sequenced, but its function was unknown until recently. It consists of 184 nucleotides that fold into an extended hairpin structure with a large single-stranded internal bulge. Lineage: Bacteria; Pseudomonadati; Pseudomonadota; Alphaproteobacteria; Rhodospirillales; Rhodospirillaceae. The record is from RNAcentral.
GCGGAGCUGCCCGGCUCGUUAGGCCUCUGAACCCCCAGGGGCGAUAAUCUACGCUCGGGGGCUGUCCCUCACCGGAUCUUGGUCCGGUGACAUGGCUCCCACUUUUACCUGUGGCCCAUUGGGAGGUCACAACCGGCCGACGGCCAUGGCGGCUCCACU